GGUUCAAGUUGUUGUAUAGAGCUGUGUUUGGUCCAGGCAAAAUGGAUAUGGUAGGAAUUCUGAUGAAGCCACGCCCACACUCAUUGACCUCAUUGUGAACCAAUUCGAGGAAAGCAGACCUUUCCCAGGGCCUCUGCCAAGGAAGUCACUUAGAAGAAAUGUUGACUCUUGAUGCUUUAUAAUCAUUGUAUUUCUUCUCUCCUAGGUACAGUGACCUUGUAAAGAAUUGGCUAAAGAUCUAUAGCCAAUAAAAAUAACUCCUGUUUAUAAAUCACCUUUCUCCGUAAGUGUAAGAACUUAGCCACAACUUUUAUUAGAACUAAAAUCUUCUUGAAAUAUUACUGAAGAAAACCAAGCUAUUGUAAUUUUUUGUUUGCCAGUCCUGGGGCUUGAACUCAGGGCCUGAGCACUGUCCCUGGCUUCUUUUUGCUCACUCUACCACUUGAGCCACAGCACCACUUCUGUUUUUUUUCUGU
Perognathus longimembris pacificus (Pacific pocket mouse) is the source of this 476-nucleotide long non-coding RNA. RefSeq lists it as uncharacterized. NCBI's taxonomy places the organism in Eukaryota, Metazoa, Chordata, Mammalia, Rodentia, Heteromyidae. The record is from RefSeq and is a predicted model, not a curated record. The transcript is spliced from 3 exons.